Molecule: small RNA, 27 nt
Filed under: Bombyx mori (domestic silkworm)
Lineage: Eukaryota; Metazoa; Arthropoda; Insecta; Lepidoptera; Bombycidae
Description: ovarian small RNA-30499
Source: RNAcentral
UGAAAGGUAUCACAACAUGAUCCAAGA